GACGAACGCUGGCGGCGUGCUUAACACAUGCAAGUCGAGCGGAAAGGCCCUUCGGGGUACUCGAGCGGCGAACGGGUGAGUAACACGUGAGUAACCUGCCCCGGACUUUGGGAUAACCCUCGGAAACGGGGGCUAAUACCGGAUACGACACAGCUUCGCAUGGGGUCUGUGUGGAAAGUUUUUCGGUUUGGGAUGGGCUCGCGGCCUAUCAGCUUGUUGGUGGGGUGAUGGCCUACCAAGGCGACGACGGGUAGCCGGCCUGAGAGGGCGACCGGCCACACUGGGACUGAGACACGGCCCAGACUCCUACGGGAGGCAGCAGUGGGGAAUAUUGCACAAUGGGCGGAAGCCUGAUGCAGCGACGCCGCGUGAGGGAUGACGGCCUUCGGGUUGUAAACCUCUUUCAGCAGGGACGAAGCGUAAGUGACGGUACCUGCAGAAGAAGCGCCGGCCAACUACGUG
Molecule: ribosomal RNA, 462 nt
Filed under: uncultured bacterium
Lineage: Bacteria
Description: partial 16S ribosomal RNA
Rfam family: Bacterial small subunit ribosomal RNA
Source: RNAcentral